Pelobates cultripes (western spadefoot toad) is the source of this 202-nucleotide non-coding RNA. The record is from the annotation of a GenBank genome assembly. Lineage: Eukaryota; Metazoa; Chordata; Amphibia; Anura; Pelobatidae.
CUGCAGUGUCUAUGGGGAUUUUAAAUUAGGUGCUUUUUCUAAGCAUGGGUAAGUAAUCCGAUAAUAAAAAGCACUGGCAGAGGAGAUGUUUUAAGUGGCUCUGUCACUUCUCAAUAUUUCUAAAAGAUAUUAUCUUUGUGAAAUACUGAUGUUGACUGCAUUUGCAUUUGAAUUCCAACACAAGCCAUAGACACCAUAAGAC